RNAcentral lists this ribosomal RNA (141 nucleotides) under uncultured bacterium. Its description in RNAcentral is "partial 16S ribosomal RNA". The record is from RNAcentral.
GCACGUAGUUAGCCGGUGCUUCUUCUGCAGGUACCGUCACUUGCGCUUCGUCCCUGCUGAAAGAGGUUUACAACCCGAAGGCCGUCAUCCCUCACGCGGCGUCGCUGCAUCAGGCUUUCGCCCAUUGUGCAAUAUUCCCCA